Long non-coding RNA from Papaver somniferum (opium poppy), 1859 nucleotides. RefSeq lists it as uncharacterized. Lineage: Eukaryota; Viridiplantae; Streptophyta; Magnoliopsida; Ranunculales; Papaveraceae. The transcript is spliced from 5 exons. The record is from RefSeq and is a predicted model, not a curated record.
AGUUUCUCUCGUCAUCUCUCAACUUUCAAGCCUUUCUUGUUCCUGCAGUAAAAUAAAGACGAGAUUGAGAAGAAAAUCCCACAAAUUAUUUUUUUCCUCCCAUUUUAACAGUAACCGAGCAUCAAAAAUAUCUCCUGUCUUCAAUCAAACUCAUCAAUUUUAAAGAUUAUGUUUUACUGAUUAAAUUUGGUGGGUAUUUAACUAUUAGUGAUUGCAACGAUGAGACACGGUAUAAUUGAAAUGAAUAAGUUUUUGUUCACUUGUGCUGCAAUUUAAAAGAUUUAUUAUCAGAGAAGAUUUUGAGAAAAUUCGUUAAAUAUCUGAUCGCUGAUUAUUGAAGAUUGGAACGGUUUGGGUUUGGUUAUAGAAUUUUGCUUAUUAAUAUUGAGUGUUUGUUUCGAUUAAUGAAUCUUUUGAACAAAUCUGAUUUUUGUGGUUUUGCAAAUAUAAUUUGGUGGUGAUUUUUUGAGACCUUUGUUUGUAUCUUGAACUUAUUCUGAUUUGGUGACUGAAUUAUGUUUGUGUUGAUCUUCAUUGUUACUUAUAAGAAUCAAUGAGAUAGUUUCCAGUCAUCUUCAUCAUCUUCUUGACAUAACCACAUAUAAAAUUUCAGUACUCUGUUUUUUACAGUAAAAUUUGAUUUUCACUGCGGCAAAUUUGUUAGAAUUUAGGGAAACUAGGCAAAAUGCCCCAGAAUGAGGGGUCACCUUGCCAAAAUGCCCCGGUCAUUUUGAAAUAAGUCAAAAUGCCCCAUUCUGUUAACUUACCCGUUAAAGAGAGUUGAGUGGUCAACUAUGGCAUCUUGACCAGUCAACACUGUUAUGAAAUGUCACUUUUAGCCUUACUACUAGUUUACAACCUUAUUUCUCUUUGUGGUCGGGAUUCAUUCACGUUCUGAAUCCUUAAUGUAAUGUCACAGACGGAGAGGUAGAGAUCGAGAGAGGGAGGAGCGAACUAAUUGCAGAGAAAGAGUUAUAUCGAGAGAGAAAUGUGGAACGAGAGAUGUUAUCGCGAGAAAAGUGAAGGACGCGGAAGAGAUUGAAGCCCUAAGUCUUAAAGAAUGAGGAGAAUAAUUCGCUGUAUAUGAUGUUUCACCCUUAAUUGGGUGGUAAUUUCGUGUGUACCAAUGGAUGAGGGUUUGGCUCUCCCAAAGUUGUUGUUUUGAAUGGAGGCUUCUAUGGAUUUUCUACAGUUGUUUAGCCGUGACUUAUCGUUGAAAAUUUUCUCGUAUUUGUAUGAACCAGCUGUUUAGCCGUGACUUAUCGUUGAAAAUUUUCUCGUAUUUGUGUGAACCAGCUGAUGUGGUUUGUGCUAGUUCUGUUUCACACUCUUGGCGCAAAUUUGAACGGGUAUUGGAAAUGGAGAUUUAUGUGUAAGUGAUAUGAGUGGCUAGUACGCAGUGGUAAUGUUCCAUCCAUCGUUUUUGGCCGCCUCUGCAAUCUAUGCAGCACAGUGCACCCUGAACAAGACCCCACUCUGGGACAAAACUCUUGAGAUUCAUACAUGUUACACUGGAUCUCAGUUAAUUGAAUUUGCCAAGCUAUUGGUGAGCUUCCAUGCUGGGGUAGAUGAAGAUAAGCUGAGGGUGGUGUUCAACAAAUGCUCAAGUCCUAAACGUAGUGUCGUUGCUUGCCCCAGCCAAAAGGCUUUUGGCUUCAUGAUACAUCAAUGGAGAAUAUAACUGAAUUAUUGAUCAUGUAUGCUUGACAGAUUUUAAUGUAUAUAUUCUUAACUGUGUUAGAUCUCUUUUCUACAGUAUAUUCUAUAUAUACUUAUUAAUCUAGUUUACUGUAAAUGAUUGAUCAUUUGUAUAAUGACCAGUGAAUUCAAUGAGCUCAAGUAAUUUUGUUCUCCUUUAA